RNAcentral lists this ribosomal RNA (253 nucleotides) under uncultured bacterium. Its description in RNAcentral is "partial 16S ribosomal RNA". It matches the Rfam family "Bacterial small subunit ribosomal RNA", at positions 524 to 776 of the family's 1533-position model. The record is from RNAcentral.
UACGUAGGUGGCAAGCGUUAUCCGGAUUUAUUGGGUGUAAAGGGCGUGUAGGCGGGAAUGCAAGUCAGAUGUGAGAACUAUGGGCUCAACCCAUAGCCUGCAUUUGAAACUGUAUUUCUUGAGUGCUGGAGAGGCAAUCGGAAUUCCGUGUGUAGCGGUGAAAUGCGUAGAUAUACGGAGGAACACCAGUGGCGAAGGCGGAUUGCUGGACAGUAACUGACGCUGAGGCGCGAAAGCGUGGGGAGCAAACAGG